GAUGAACGCUAGCGACAGGCCUAACACAUGCAAGUCGAGGGGCAGCACAUGAGUAGCAAUACGAUGGUGGCGACCGGCGCACGGGUGAGUAACACGUAUGCAACCUGCCUGUAAGAGGGGAAUAACCCGGAGAAAUUCGGACUAAUACCGCAUAAUACCACGAGACUGCAUGGUUUUGUGGUUAAACAUUUAUGGCUUACAGAUGGGCAUGCGUAUGAUUAGAUAGUUGGUAGGGUAACGGCCUACCAAGUCUACGAUCAUUAGGGGUUCUGAGAGGAAGGUCCCCCACACUGGUACUGAGACACGGACCAGACUCCUACGGGAGCAGCAGUGAGGAAUAUUGGUCAAUGGGCGAGAGCCUGAACCAGCCAAGUCGCGUGAAGGAAGAAGGUUCUAUGGAUUGUAAACUUCUUUUGCAGGGGAAUAAAGGACGGUACGUGUACUUGUUUGUAUGUACCUUGCGAAUAAGGAUCGGCUAACUCCGUGCCAGCAGCCG
Molecule: ribosomal RNA, 496 nt
Filed under: uncultured bacterium
Lineage: Bacteria
Description: bacterial SSU rRNA
Rfam family: Bacterial small subunit ribosomal RNA
Source: RNAcentral